This is a non-coding RNA of Misgurnus anguillicaudatus (oriental weatherfish), 637 nucleotides long. The record is from RefSeq and is a predicted model, not a curated record. Lineage: Eukaryota; Metazoa; Chordata; Actinopteri; Cypriniformes; Cobitidae.
AUAAAAACACAUAUAGCUGUGUGGUGAACAAUCCAAUCACAAACCAAACUGAACAUCUCAACAUCAAUGAUGUCUGUCAGACGUGUUCAGAGCUAUAUUUUAGAUUAAUGAUAGCUGCUGUUGUAGUGUUGCUAGUGAUUCUGGUUGCAAGUGUGAUCUACUGCUGUUACAAAAAGUUUAAACAACCAGUUAAAGAAGGCAAGUGUUUACAUGCAAAAAUAUGAACUUUUUAAUUUUUAUCUAAUAUAGACACUAUUUGAGGUUAAAACAUGUGAUUAUUAUUAUUAAAACAGCUCAGACUCCGGAGACAGAGAUCAUUUACGCACAGCCAUUCUCUACACAAAGGCUUCAGCAUACGGUAAGAUGUUGUAUUUACAAGCUUUACUGACCCCAAAUAAAAAAACAAACAGGCAGAAGGUUAGUCAAUCUGUAGUCUGCAAUACUGACCUGAUGUAUUGACUUAAUUGCUAUUAUUGGUAAGAUUGUCAUUUCCAAUGAUGGGAAAUUCCUCUCUUAUACAGUAUGUUUGGCCAGUGUCUUUAUUGCUUUUUCUGUUUUUCUAACAGGAUUUUGUUGAAGCAGAUCGCACAGAAUACUCAAGUGUAGUGGCAAUGAGUACAUAAAAUAAAAAACUUUU